Long non-coding RNA from Equus caballus (horse), 3880 nucleotides. NCBI's taxonomy places the organism in Eukaryota, Metazoa, Chordata, Mammalia, Perissodactyla, Equidae. The record is from Ensembl.
CACUGGGGCAGAGGCAUUUUUAAUGAGCUCCACCACCCCCAGCGGCAGCCUGGAGAAGAGGCAGCUUUACUCCCAGACACUGUUAGUCACCUCGGACCCAGGUCCAGGACACACCCGGGAGGCAACUCAUGAUGAUUCAGGUUCAAGUGCUUUGUCAUGUGGUCGUGCAUACACUCCAGGCCCCCUCCUUGUCCCUCUCAAAGCCCACCUUCUCCCUGCCUGGCUGGCUUCAGGACUAGGCCAGAGCAGAAGGGCAGGUAGACGGCAGGAUGAAUAAAAGAAAGUUGUUCUCUCAGGUGACUCUGUUCCUCAUGGCCACGUGCACUCACUUCUCAGAACUUGUACCAAAUCUCUUCAUUUCUAUCUGUUGGGCACCUUCUGGCAUGAGUCCCUCAGGGCUAGGUGAACAGGCUGCCCCAGGGUAACAGGAUCCAUGACUAGCAUUGCUGUGUUAAAUUAGCCAAAAGGAACCAAAAAUGGGUUCUGAGCACCUACAGAUUUUAUCUAUUUGAGGAGAAAAAAAUGUGUUAUACAAAUCAAUUCAGUCUUUGACAGGUGUAGAAAUUAAAGUCCAGAGAGGUUAAAUGAGUUACCCAAAGGCACACAGCAGAAAAUGGUAGAGUUGGAAUUAGGAGUCUCAUUUCAGACCACAGAAGCCAGUCCACUGUGAGGACAGGGACUAGCACUGACUCACUCUUCGGAAUUCCGGUUCCCUUCACCUUGGUUCAACCACCACACCAGCAAAAAAGCAGUGCCAAAGAAAUAUGAGAGCUUCAGGGUCCAAGAGGUCUGGUGUGCACACUCCCAGGCCCAGGGUCCUGCAGAGGCCCCCCAAAGCCGGGGUGGCCUGCAGGCAGUGAGGAGUGUGCCAGGGGAGAAGCUCCUCCUGGCUUCUGCCCACUCUGUGUGAGGCUGGGGAGGGGGUUACGUAUACGGUCAGGGCCCUUCUUUCUCUGCCUCACUCCAUAACCUGGUUCUUUCUGCACUUCUGCACCGGCCGGGGCCAGGCCACGCCCACAGGCCCGCCAUGACCCUUUUCCACACAGUUGCGAUCUGGUGGGAGUAAUACAACAUCUGUGCACAAGGAAACAGCCCCUGGACGGCCAGGGUCCCAUCACCCCACCAUGGACAUUGGGGCUGGGUAAUUCUUUAUUGUGGGGCCGUCCUGUGCCCUGUAGGAUGUUUAUCAGCAUCCCUGUCCUCCACCCACUAGAUGAGGGAGCUCACACACCCCAAGUGCUAACAAUUGAAUGCGGCUCCAGACAUCCUCAAAUAUCUCCUGGGGAGACAUUUGUGCCCCUGGCUGAGAAGCAGUGGUGUAAGGAAUAUAAAUACUGGCGAAUAAGGCCGAGGAGAGGGAGCACGAUGAACAAGUGUGGCUCCUGGGCCCCAGGGGAUGGAAAGCCCGUGCCGGGUUCUCCCGCCUCAGUUUCCCCCGCGAUGGUGCCUAAGAGACCCUGUGCUCCGCAGGAAAACCAGAUCCCCCCGGAACCGCGAGGAGCAAAAUGCCCUCAAACGCGCGCAGAGCAAGGGAUGGGCGUCUGCGGGGUGAGCGCCGUCUGGGACCGGGCUAGAGGCUGGCCUGUCGUGACCAGUGGAAAUGGGCAGAUGGGAGAAGGGACGCAUUGCUGAUGGCGGUGGGGGAAGCCUGAAGGACGACCUGGAGGAGGCGAAGCCCAGCUGUUGACAGCGGCUGUGCUGGAACAGCCGCGCUGUGCACAGAAGGGGGACGAAGUGUGCAGCGGGCAGGUCGCCGCCUGAUCACGGAGGCCGAGAGGCGCGCGGGAGCCAGGGCGACGGGGUGGCCGCAGGACAGAUUAGGAAAGUGGUCUUUAAGAAUUCAUGGGUUUGGGGGCUGGCCCCGCGGCCGAGUGGUUGGGUUCGCGCGCUCCGCUGCAGGCGGCCCAGUGUUUCGUUGGUUCGAAUCCUGGGCGCGGACAUGGCACUGCUCAUCAGACCACGCUGAGGCGGCGUCCCACAUGCCACAACUAGAGGAACCUACAACGAAGAAUACACAACUAUGUACCGGGGGGCUUUGCGGAGAAAAAGGAAAAUAAAAUAAAAUAAAAUAAAAAGAAUUCAUGGGUUUGUUAAGUAAAAGAAACCAGGCCGUAGAGAGUGCAUGCUGAAUGAUGGCAUUUUUAUAAAGUACCAAACAGUCACACAUCCCUCUCGCCCUAGAAUUCGAGACAGUCCCUACCCUCAGAGGGCGGGGCUAGUAACCGAGAAGAGCACCUGGAAAGUUUGGGGGCCGUGGGCUACAGGACGAUGUGGAUCUGUAAGAGUUACUCACACUGACCCAAGAGUCGAGCGGAGGACGCUGGCUGACUCAGCCUUGAGAACAUUCAGUUCUGGACACUGAGGGCACCAGUAGAUGGAACUCCUUCUCUCAGCCACGCGCUCCCUGGGUCUGGAAGCCUGGUCCCCAGUCAGCAGCCACAGCCUCGCCCGGGAACUUAUUAGAGAGGCAAAUUCUCGGCCGCCCCUGACCUGUGAAUUAGGAACUCGGGCAGUGGAGCCCAGCACCUGUGUUUUAACAAGUCCUCCAGGUGGUUCUGAUGCACAUUAAAGUGAGAACCACUGCGCUGGCUCAAUUUCGAACUAAAGAAUAUGCAAAAGAAUACUCAGGUGAAGGCCAUAGACCCCGUUCAUCCGAGAUAAAGCUGGUCCUGGGGCAUGGGGGCUCACGACUGCGCCAACUGGGCUUCCCGAUGAUGAACUCCAGAUUAGACAGACUUACCCUCUCUCGGGGAAGCCGGGGCCUGCCUCCCUAAAACUAGGGCGUGGAGGAGCAGACAUAACGUGUGCUUCUUGAGGACAGCCAGCCCCCUACAGGAAAAGAGGAGAAAAGGACUGGGUACACAGCUCCUCUCCAAACUCACCAGUCAGGCACUCAUCCCACCUGCCCAGAAAGGGUUGAGGGUGGGCCAAGAGGGCGGGGGCGCUGUGCUAGAGUUGUGUCUAUGCUGAAGGAGGGAAGUGUUCCUCCCGGUGUGUCCUUAAGUGUGGAUGUGGGUAAUUAGUGGUUGGAAGUGAUCUGCUCUUCUCCCUUUGGGUUGCUGUGCCACUGUCAGUUUUGCCUGACCAGGACUGAAUCCAACAGUUCACAAGGGCCAGGCACACUCUUCAUGCCACUGCCCCAUCCGGUGGCUGUGGGUAGUCUGUGGAAAAAAGUGGCUUCUUGUUCUGAGGCUUCAGCUUCCCACCCAUGUGCCCCAAUGACAAGCAUACAUGGCAGACUCUCUGCCCUCUGCAGAAGAGACCCCACGAAGAAGUCUGGCCAACAGGAUGUGAAAAGUGAGAGCUGAAUAUGGCUGGGCGGUGCUUGACUUGCCGUGAUCUUAAUGCAUUUCUUAGCACCUGAAAAUAAAUGAUCUUCUUAACUCUCUUCUGCCCUCAAUUGCCCAUUUUUGCCAUCCCAUGACCUUCCUCUUUAGCAUUAAAAGUAUGCUACUCCCUUCCCUUUCUCAAAGGAGGAGAGACUCGAAGAACAGAAAGGAUCUUAGAAAUCACUUAGUCCAGACACCUGAUUUUCCAGCAGAUGAAUCAGAGGCCCAGAGGGUUAGAGUGACAUGUCCAGGGUCUAACCACUAAUUAGUGGCAGAGCCACGACCCACGCCCAGGUUUAACACCCACAGGCUGGAAAUCCUCAUCCUCCACAGCUCCAUAAGCAAGCUAUGAAUGGUGGGGAUCCAGCAUCAUCUAUCACGGGGCUUAUCUCUUAUCGCACUGUAACCAAAAGCAGCCGAUAAUUUGUCAUGGAUCAUUUUUAAUAAUUUCCCCCUGUAACACCAGUCGUGGCCAGACAAGUCUACAUGUAGAGAAGGUUUGUCUAGUGGUAUUGCACGAGAAUUUGCUGUGGAAGGCGGCAGCCCACACU